GAUGAACGCUGGCGGCGUGCUUAACACAUGCAAGUCGAACGGAAAGGCUCCUGCUUGCAGGGGUACUCGAGUGGCGAACGGGUGAGUAACACGUGGGUGAUCUGCCCUGCACUUCGGGAUAAGCCUGGGAAACUGGGUCUAAUACCGGAUAGGACCACAUUUUGGAUGGUGUGGUGGAAAGUUUUUCGGUGUGGGAUGAGCUCGCGGCCUAUCAGCUUGUUGGUGGGGUAAUGGCCUACCAAGGCGUCGACGGGUAGCCGGCCUGAGAGGGUGUACGGCCACAUUGGGACUGAGAUACGGCCCAGACUCCUACGGGAGGCAGCAGUGGGGAAUAUUGCACAAUGGGCGCAAGCCUGAUGCAGCGACGCCGCGUGGGGGAUGACGGCCUUCGGGUUGUAAACUCCUUUCGCUAGGGACGAAGCGCAAGUGACGGUACCUGGAGAAGAAGCACCGGCUAACUACGUG
This 465-nucleotide ribosomal RNA is filed under the name uncultured bacterium. RNAcentral's name for it is "partial 16S ribosomal RNA". It matches the Rfam family "Bacterial small subunit ribosomal RNA", at positions 28 to 507 of the family's 1533-position model. The record is from RNAcentral.